Molecule: ribosomal RNA, 505 nt
Filed under: uncultured bacterium
Lineage: Bacteria
Description: partial 16S ribosomal RNA
Rfam family: Bacterial small subunit ribosomal RNA
Source: RNAcentral
GACGAACGCUGGCGGCGUGCCUAAUACAUGCAAGUCGAACGCACAGUUUAUACCUUAGCUUGCUACACCAUAGACUGUGAGUUGCGAACGGGUGAGUAACGCGUAGGUAACCUGCCUGGUAGCGGGGGAUAACUAUUGGAAACGAUAGCUAAUACCGCAUAAUAUUAAUUAUUGCAUGAUAAUUAAUUGAAAGGUGCAAUUGCACCACUACCAGAUGGACCUGCGUUGUAUUAGCUAGUAGGUGAGGUAACGGCUCACCUAGGCGACGAUACAUAGCCGACCUGAGAGGGUGAUCGGCCACACUGGGACUGAGACACGGCCCAGACUCCUACGGGAGGCAGCAGUAGGGAAUCUUCGGCAAUGGACGAAAGUCUGACCGAGCAACGCCGCGUGAGUGAAGAAGGUUUUCGGAUCGUAAAGCUCUGUUGUAAGAGAAGAACGGGUGUGAGAGUGGAAAGUUCACACUGUGACGGUAGCUUACCAGAAAGGGACGGCUAACUACGUG